Camellia sinensis is the source of this 2119-nucleotide non-coding RNA. The record is from RefSeq and is a predicted model, not a curated record. NCBI's taxonomy places the organism in Eukaryota, Viridiplantae, Streptophyta, Magnoliopsida, Ericales, Theaceae.
UGUGUAAUUUUACCCAAUUUCUUUUGUUUCUGUGCGAAAGAAGCCCUACUAGCCAGUUGGAGACAGAAAGAGAGAAAGGGUGAAGACGAAGAUGUUCAAGACCUUUCGGAGGUAGAUUUCUCACUCGCAGGUGGAUCCAAGGCCCUUUCAGAGGUUCAGUUCAUUGACUGAAGUAGAAGAAUAUUUAUUGAUUUUAGACUUGAGGUGAGUUUUAUCUGUCUAGUGAAAAGAAGGCCUCACAAUGGAUGCUCAAGCGAGAAAGAAGGCCUUGUAUCGUGCUAAACUGAAUGCAAAUAAGCUGGAGAAGCGCAUAGAAUCUCCUCUUGUGAGGUACAAUGAAUUUGAUCAACCUGUCUGUAGGGUUUGUGAUGUUGUUUUGAAAUCCGAGUCACUUUGGCCCGCACAUCAAGCUUCUCGUAAACAUCACGAGGCGAUUAAUAAUGUCAAAGCCAAUGCUGCUGGACUAACACGGGUUAAUAAUGCAAAGGUUGAGUCCCCUAUAGAGUUGCCCAAACAAAAAAAUGAACAUUCUACAGAGUUGCGUGAUUCUAAACCUGAAGCCUCGAUGGAAUUGCUGAAACGGCCAUCUUCUGUUCUUCCACCAGAUUUUUUUGACAAUAACAAGACAAAGAUGCAAAAAACUGGAAUGGAUGCAACCAAAUUGGGGAAUCCUAAUUCAUACAAAAAGGCAGGAGGUUCUGCUCAAACUCGAUUGACUGAACCAUUCAACUCAGAGAGUAAGAUAGAUGAAUUUUCCAGUGCCAAAGUUGUAGAGAGCAAAAUGGAUGAAAUUCAGCCUGACAAGGAGCAGAUGCAGACAUCAAAACUGAUUGCUGGUUCAGAAACCAAGCAAGCAAAGGGAGCGCUACCAGAAGGCUUUUUUGAUGACAAAGAUGCUGAUCUACGUGCACGCGGCAUUACGCCUGUUAAGCUAGAUGUCAAUACAGCACACUCGCAGAAUGAGAUGCAGAGACUGGAGAUGGAGAAUAGAUCAAGUGGAGUGUUCAACACUCUCUUCUUAAGACAGAUUUGUCCUUCCCAUGGUGCUUCGGAGCAUUGGACGUCUAUCUCCUAGGAUGAAAUGGUCUUUGUGGUCUAGUUGCAGCACUAUAAGAAGACUGUUGGUGAACCAAUUUAUGUAUGUACUCUCUUGCUGGUAACUGGACUCUCAAAUAUGCAAGGUAUGAAGCAGGGAAGAAAGGAGGAAAGAAACGAAUGAAUUCAAUGCUGGAAUGGCUGGAGGGACUGUAUUUAUAGGCAGUGAAGUACCUGUUUGGACUGACCAAAAAGUGGUGACUGGAAAGGAUGCAACUUUCCUAACGCAUGUGGCCAAAAAUUGCAGAGAGAAACGGAAAGUCGCAGUCAGUCGGACGGGGACAUUACUGUUUGCAGAAAAUUUGUAUUUGAAUUUCAAAAUUUCUGGCAAAAAUAUUGAAUUGAAAAUUCAAAUAAAUUUGGCUCAAAAAGACAUAUAUACGGGUUGAUCAAACCCACAACCCGAGCUCGGAUUGGGGGGCGGCGGCGGCGGCCUGUGAAUUUUUGGAUCCAACCCACUUUGGUCCAUAACUCCAAUCUAUGAAGCACGGACACCUCUCCGAGGGCUCCGUACCAGUGUCAGACACGUGUCGGACACGGACACGCGUCGGACACGCAGUGGACACGUGUCCGACACCGCACUAGAGAGUGUCCAAUUUUUUUUUAUUUUUUUUGAAGCCGGACACGUCCAGGACACGUUGUGGACAUUUUCGGGACACGCACGGGGUCAAGUUCAGAAUUUACAUAACAUUUUUAGGGUCAAUCUGUAAAAAAAACAAAAAUAACUUAUAUUUGCCCUAAAUCGAUCAAAGAUAGCAGAGAACAAAAAGAGAAAGAGAGAAGGCAAAGAUAACAGAGGAGAAAGAGAACUUGGUCGCUCGUCCGUCGCUCGUCAUCGCUUGUCGCUGCUUGUAGCUCGUCGCUCAUCGUUCGUCGUCGCUCCUCGGCCGUCGCUCGUAAGGGAUGAGUACAAGGAAUUUGAAAAGUUGAUCCAACAGGACUUGCAGAAGGUGGACAACCGUUUGGAGGAAGAGGAGAUUGAUGCAGCUGAGACGAUAGAAGAGGCAGAGUCUGUGGAGCAAAA